GGGGGUCGUUGAGGGCGGCUGAGGCAGCAGGAGUCUAGAACCUUGGUGAGCCUAGCGGUGCUCUAGAAAGUCAUCAAAUUAGUCGGGUGUUUGGUGGAGCCUGAAUGUAGCCCCAGUGGUGUGGUGCCCUGGUUCUCGGGAGCUUUUCAUGAAGCUUCCCCUGACAAGAUGGAUGGGUACUGCAAUGAUGUCACCAUCAUCCCUUCAUAAACCCUCCAUUUCCACGUCUACCUGCCUCAGUGGAGAGCAUCCUAUCACAGAGAGAAAACUUCCUGGGCUGGAAGGCUCCGCCCACCUCCCAACUCCAUAAAGCCAUCCAAAUGGUCCUGG
This is a non-coding RNA of Rattus norvegicus (Norway rat), 330 nucleotides long. The record is from RefSeq and is a predicted model, not a curated record. Lineage: Eukaryota; Metazoa; Chordata; Mammalia; Rodentia; Muridae.